AGUGAACGCUGGCGGUAGGCCUAACACAUGCAAGUCGAACGGCAGCACAGUAAGUGCUUGCUCUUACGUGUGGCGAGUGUCGGACGGGUGAGGAAUACAUCGGAAUCUACUUUUUCGUGGGGGCUAAUGUCGGGUAACUUACGCUAAUACCGCAUACGACCUACGGGUGAAAGCAGGGGAUCUUUGGACCUUGCGCGAUUGAAUGAGCCGAUGUCGGCUUAGCUCGUUGGCGGGGCAAAGGCGCACCAAGGCGACGAUCCGUAGCUGGUCUGAGAGGGUGUUCAGCCAGACGGGAACUGAGACACGGUCCAGACUCCGACAGGGGGCAGCAGUGGAGAAUAUUAGACAAUGGAGGCGAGCCUGAUCCAGCCAUACCGGGUGAGGGAAGAAGGCGUUCGGGUUGGAAAGCCCUUUUGUUGGGAGAGAAAAGCAGCAGGUUAAUACCCCACUGUUCUGACGGUACCCAAAGAAUAAGCUCCGGCUAACUUCGUG
RNAcentral lists this ribosomal RNA (492 nucleotides) under uncultured bacterium. RNAcentral describes it as "partial 16S ribosomal RNA". It matches the Rfam family "Bacterial small subunit ribosomal RNA", at positions 29 to 507 of the family's 1533-position model. The record is from RNAcentral.